RNAcentral lists this ribosomal RNA (2233 nucleotides) under human gut metagenome. Its description in RNAcentral is "bacterial LSU rRNA". It matches the Rfam family "Bacterial large subunit ribosomal RNA", at positions 3 to 2235 of the family's 2925-position model. The record is from RNAcentral.
UUAAGUUAUUAAGGGCGCACGGUGGAUGCCUUGGCACUAGAAGCCGAUGAAGGACGUUACUAACGACGAUAUGCUUUGGGUAGCUGUAAGUAAGCGUUGAUCCAGAGAUUUCCGAAUGGGGGAACCCAGCAUGAGUUAUGUCAUGUUAUCGACAUGUGAAUUCAUAGCAUGUCAGAAGGCAGACCCGGAGAACUGAAACAUCUUAGUACCCGGAGGAAGAGAAAGAAAAAUCGAUUCCCUGAGUAGCGGCGAGCGAAACGGGAAGAGCCCAAACCAACAAGCUUGCUUGUUGGGGUUGUAGGACACUCUAUACGGAGUUACAAAAGAACAUGUUAGACGAAUCAUCUGGAAAGAUGAAUCAAAGAAGGUAAUAAUCCUGUAGUCGAAAACAUAUUCUCUCUUGAGUGGAUCCUGAGUACGACGGAGCACGUGAAAUUCCGUCGGAAUCUGGGAGGACCAUCUCCUAAGGCUAAAUACUCUCUAGUGACCGAUAGUGAACCAGUACCGUGAGGGAAAGGUGAAAAGUACCCCGGAAGGGGAGUGAAAGAGAACUUGAAACCGUGUGCUUACAAGUAGUCAGAGCCCGUUAAUGGGUGAUGGCGUGCCUUUUGUAGAAUGAACCGGCGAGUUACGAUCUGAUGCAAGGUUAAGCAGCAAAUGUGGAGCCGCAGCGAAAGCGAGUCUGAAUAGGGCGUUGAGUAUUUGGUCGUAGACCCGAAACCAGGUGAUCUACCCUUGGUCAGGUUGAAGUUCAGGUAACACUGAAUGGAGGACCGAACCGACUUACGUUGAAAAGUGAGCGGAUGAACUGAGGGUAGCGGAGAAAUUCCAAUCGAACUUGGAGAUAGCUGGUUCUCUCCGAAAUAGCUUUAGGGCUAGCCUCAAGUGAUGAUUAUUGGAGGUAGAGCACUGUUUGGACGAGGGGCCCCUCUCGGGUUACCGAAUUCAGACAAACUCCGAAUGCCAAUUAAUUUAACUUGGGAGUCAGAACAUGGGUGAUAAGGUCCGUGUUCGAAAGGGAAACAGCCCAGACCACCAGCUAAGGUCCCAAAAUAUAUGUUAAGUGGAAAAGGAUGUGGCGUUGCCCAGACAACUAGGAUGUUGGCUUAGAAGCAGCCAUCAUUUAAAGAGUGCGUAAUAGCUCACUAGUCGAGUGACACUGCGCCGAAAAUGUACCGGGGCUAAACAUAUUACCGAAGCUGUGGAUUGUCCUUUGGACAAUGGUAGGAGAGCGUUCUAAGGGCGUCGAAGCAUGAUCGCAAGGACAUGUGGAGCGCUUAGAAGUGAGAAUGCCGGUGUGAGUAGCGAAAGACGGGUGAGAAUCCCGUCCACCGAUUGACUAAGGUUUCCAGAGGAAGGCUCGUCCGCUCUGGGUUAGUCGGGUCCUAAGCUGAGGCCGACAGGCGUAGGCGAUGGAUAACAGGUUGAUAUUCCUGUACCACCUAGUAUCGUUUUAAUCGAUGGGGGGACGCAGUAGGAUAGGCGAAGCGUGCUGUUGGAGUGCACGUCCAAGCAGUAAGGCUGAGUGUUAGGCAAAUCCGGCACUCAUAAGGCUGAGCUGUGAUGGGGAGAGGAAAUUGUUUCCUCGAGUCGUUGAUUUCACACUGCCGAGAAAAGCCUCUAGAUAGAUAACAGGUGCCCGUACCGCAAACCGACACAGGUAGUCAAGAUGAGAAUUCUAAGGUGAGCGAGCGAACUCUCGUUAAGGAACUCGGCAAAAUGACCCCGUAACUUCGGGAGAAGGGGUGCUCUUUAGGGUUCACGCCCAGAAGAGCCGCAGUGAAUAGGCCCAAGCGACUGUUUAUCAAAAACACAGGUCUCUGCUAAACCGUAAGGUGAUGUAUAGGGGCUGACGCCUGCCCGGUGCUGGAAGGUUAAGAGGAGUGGUUAGCUUCUGCGAAGCUACGAAUCGAAGCCCCAGUAAACGGCGGCCGUAACUAUAACGGUCCUAAGGUAGCGAAAUUCCUUGUCGGGUAAGUUCCGACCCGCACGAAAGGCGUAACGAUUUGGGCACUGUCUCAACGAGAGACUCGGUGAAAUCAUAGUACCUGUGAAGAUGCAGGUUACCCGCGACAGGACGGAAAGACCCCGUGGAGCUUUACUGUAGCCUGAUAUUGAAAUUCGGCACAGCUUGUACAGGAUAGGUAGGAGCCUUUGAAACGUGAGCGCUAGCUUACGUGGAGGCGUUGGUGGGAUACUACCCUAGCUGUGUUGGCUUUCUAACCCGCACCAC